This 644-nucleotide long non-coding RNA is filed under the name Phoenix dactylifera (date palm). RNAcentral describes it as "long non-coding RNA (PDAC_LNC000330)". The record is from RNAcentral. Lineage: Eukaryota; Viridiplantae; Streptophyta; Magnoliopsida; Arecales; Arecaceae.
GCAUGAUAUCGAACAAUAUCUGUUUGCAGUAUUUCAGAAGUAAAUUAACCAUCUGUUGAAUUCUACACUGCAGCAGCCCAAAUGAGCUCAAAAUAUUGGACACGCGAACCAUCUGCUGCAUUGAACAACGAAAGAAUAAAGAGUAUUAAUGAAUGCCAGGCAUGAAUUGCUUCAAAAAAAAAGCAGCAAAUGACAAAAUGUUCAGCUGAUAGCCAAGAGCAGACCUAACCAUUUAAUCCUCCUCCAUAGGAACUUCUGGGAAAUCCCAUCUAUCUUCUUCAAUUGGUUUAUUGAUAAUGGAAAUAGAAGGUAAGGCAUGUCAAGGAAACAUAAUAAAACAAUUCAAAGAAAAAUUACAAUUAAUUCUGGAUUCAAAUAGCAAAAAGAAAUUUUGGAUGCCAGCCAAUAUUCACACAUGUCAAAGCAAAAACGGAUAAAAUCUUCUAGAAAUUUUACAUAGUCAAAAGCAAGGAAAGUACAGCACAUCAUAAGACAAAUUCUGUAUAUAGAUAAAUCAGAUAUUAAACAGCAUGCAACAACUGUUUCAUUGGCUGCCAGGUUGAUCUCCUUCCCAAUAUUUUCCUAUUUUUCAUUCUCUCAAAUGUUUUCAAUUUCUUUUUUUUUAGUUUUUGGUUUGGGGGGGG